RNAcentral lists this ribosomal RNA (249 nucleotides) under Staphylococcus pseudintermedius. Its description in RNAcentral is "partial 16S ribosomal RNA". It matches the Rfam family "Bacterial small subunit ribosomal RNA", at positions 1286 to 1533 of the family's 1533-position model. Lineage: Bacteria; Bacillati; Bacillota; Bacilli; Caryophanales; Staphylococcaceae. The record is from RNAcentral.
UCUCAGUUCGGAUUGUAGUCUGCAACUCGACUACAUGAAGCUGGAAUCGCUAGUAAUCGUAGAUCAGCAUGCUACGGUGAAUACGUUCCCGGGUCUUGUACACACCGCCCGUCACACCACGAGAGUUUGUAACACCCGAAGCCGGUGGAGUAACCAUUUUGGAGCUAGCCGUCGAAGGUGGGACAAAUGAUUGGGGUGAAGUCGUAACAAGGUAGCCGUAUCGGAAGGUGCGGCUGGAUCACCUCCUUU